RNAcentral lists this ribosomal RNA (468 nucleotides) under uncultured bacterium. Its description in RNAcentral is "partial 16S ribosomal RNA". It matches the Rfam family "Bacterial small subunit ribosomal RNA", at positions 28 to 507 of the family's 1533-position model. The record is from RNAcentral.
GACGAACGCUGGCGGCGUGCUUAACACAUGCAAGUCGAACGGAAAGGCCCUGCUUUUGUGGGGUGCUCGAGUGGCGAACGGGUGAGUAACACGUGAGUAACCUGCCCUUGACUUUGGGAUAACUUCAGGAAACUGGGGCUAAUACCGGAUAGGAGCUCCUGCUGCAUGGUGGGGGUUGGAAAGUUUCGGCGGUUGGGGAUGGAUUCGCGGCUUAUCAGCUUGUUGGUGGGGUAGUGGCUUACCAAGGCUUUGACGGGUAGCCGGCCUGAGAGGGUGACCGGCCACAUUGGGACUGAGAUACGGCCCAGACUCCUACGGGAGGCAGCAGUGGGGAAUAUUGCACAAUGGGCGGAAGCCUGAUGCGGCAACGCCGCGUGCGGGAUGACGGCCUUCGGGUUGUAAACCGCUUUCGCCUGUGACGAAGCGUGAGUGACGGUAAUGGGUAAAGAAGCACCGGCUAACUACGUG